UACGUAGGGUGCGAGCGUUAAUCGGAAUUACUGGGCGUAAAGCGUGCGCAGGCGGUUUUGUAAGCCAGAUGUGAAAUCCCCCGGGCUCAACCUGGGAAUGGCGAUGAAGACUGCAAGGCUAGAAUCUGGCAGAGGGGGGUAGAAUUCCACGUGUAGCAGUGAAAUGCGUAGAGAUGUGGAGGAACACCGAUGGCGAAGGCAGCCCCCUGGGUCAAGAUUGACGCUCAUGCACGAAAGCGUGGGAGCAACAGG
RNAcentral lists this ribosomal RNA (252 nucleotides) under uncultured bacterium. RNAcentral describes it as "partial 16S ribosomal RNA". It matches the Rfam family "Bacterial small subunit ribosomal RNA", at positions 524 to 776 of the family's 1533-position model. The record is from RNAcentral.